UCGGGAAUUUUGGGCAAUGGGCGAAAGCCUGACCCAGCAACGCCGCGUGAGGGAUGAAGUAUUUCGGUAUGUAAACCUCGAAAGAAUGGGAAGAAUAAAUGACGGUACCAUUUAUAAGCUCCGGCUAACUACGUGCCAGCAGCCGCGGUAAUACGAAGGGAGCAAGCGUUGUUCGGAUUUACUGGGCGUAAAGGGCGCGUAGGCGGCGCGGUAAGUCACUUGUGAAAUCUCUGAGCUUAACUCAGAACGGCCAAGUGAUACUGCUGUGCUAGAGUGCGGAAGAGGCAACCGGAAUUCUUGGUGUAGCGGUGAAAUGCGUAGAUAUCAAGAGGAACACCUGAGGCGAAGGCGGGUUGCUGGGCCGACACUGACGCUGAUGCGCGAAAGCCAGGGGAGCAAACG
Molecule: ribosomal RNA, 402 nt
Filed under: uncultured bacterium
Lineage: Bacteria
Description: bacterial SSU rRNA
Rfam family: Bacterial small subunit ribosomal RNA
Source: RNAcentral